Molecule: ribosomal RNA, 492 nt
Filed under: uncultured bacterium
Lineage: Bacteria
Description: partial 16S ribosomal RNA
Rfam family: Bacterial small subunit ribosomal RNA
Source: RNAcentral
AGUGAACGCUGGCGGUAGGCCUAACACAUGCGAGUCGAACGGCAGCACAGUAAGAGCUUGCUCUUACGGGUGGCGAGUGGCGGACGGGUGAGGAAUACAUCGGAAUCUACUUUUUCGUGGGUGAUAACGUAGGGAAACUUACGCUAGUACCGCAUACGACCUACGGGUGAAAGCAGGGGAUCUUCGGACCUGUCGCGAUUGAAUGAGCCGAUGUCGGAUUAGCUAGUUGGCGGGGUAAAGGCCCACCAAGGCGACGAUCCGUAGCUGGUCUGAGAGGAUGAUCAGCCAGACUGGAACUGAGACACGGUCCAGACUCCUACGGGAGGCAGCAGUGGGGAAUAUUGGACGAUGGGGGCAAGCCUGAUCCAGCCAUACCGCGUGGGUGAAGAAGGCCUUCGGGUUGUAAAGCCCUUUUGUUGGGAAAGAAAAGCAGCAGGUUAAUCCCCCGCUGUUCUGACGGUACCCAAAGAAUAAGCACCGGCUAACUUCGUG